Molecule: long non-coding RNA, 303 nt
Filed under: Daucus carota (carrot)
Lineage: Eukaryota; Viridiplantae; Streptophyta; Magnoliopsida; Apiales; Apiaceae
Description: long non-coding RNA (DCAR_LNC005477)
Source: RNAcentral
UCCAACUUUCAGCUUACCAUAUCCCGUUGUAAAACCUUUGCUGUCAUCUCCAAAGAUUACAAUUGGGCCGGUUCUCAUCACCACAUCUGUGAGCAGGGACUUUUCACCAGUCAUGUGUCUUGAACAACCACUAUCAAGAACCCACACAACUUUUCUUUUCUUUCCUGUGCCCUGCAUUCACAAAUGGAUUAAACUUUCUUUGGUACCCAGACGUUCUUGGGUCCAGGUGGUUUAGUAGAAACAGGAUUAUCAACAGAAACUGGUUUAACAUGUGCUUGUUCAGGGGUGACUGAACUCUUCUCC